This 398-nucleotide ribosomal RNA is filed under the name uncultured Glomeromycotina. RNAcentral describes it as "SSU rRNA". It matches the Rfam family "Eukaryotic small subunit ribosomal RNA", at positions 569 to 971 of the family's 1831-position model. The record is from RNAcentral. Lineage: Eukaryota; Fungi; Glomeromycota.
AGCAGCCGCGGUAAUUCCAGCUCCAAUAGCGUAUAUUAAAGUUGUUGCAGUUAAAAAGCUCGUAGUUGAAUUUCGGGGUUAGUAGGUUGGUCAUGCCUCUGGUAUGUACUGGUCUCACUGAUUCCUCCUUCCUUAUGAACCGUAAUGCCAUUAAUUUGGUGUUGCGGGGAAUUUGGACUGUUACUUUGAAAAAUUAGAGUGUUUAAAGCAGGCUAACGCUUGAAUACAUUAGCAUGGAAUAAUGAAAUAGGACGUUCGAUCUUAUUUUGUUGGUUUCUAGGAUUGACGUAAUGAUUAAUAGGGAUAGUUGGGGGCAUUAGUAUUCAAUUGUCAGAGGUGAAAUUCUUGGAUUUAUUGAAGACUAACUACUGCGAAAGCAUUUUGCCAAGGAUGUUUUC